Molecule: ribosomal RNA, 253 nt
Filed under: uncultured Eubacteriales bacterium
Lineage: Bacteria; Bacillati; Bacillota; Clostridia; Eubacteriales
Description: uncultured Clostridiales bacterium partial 16S ribosomal RNA
Rfam family: Bacterial small subunit ribosomal RNA
Source: RNAcentral
UACGUAGGUGGCGAGCGUUAUCCGGAAUGAUUGGGCGUAAAGGGUGCGUAGACGGGAAUUUAAGUUAGUUGUGAAAUCCCUCGGCUUAACUGAGGAACUGCAACUAAAACUGAAUUUCUUGAGUGCGGGAGAGGAAAGUGGAAUUCCUAGUGUAGCGGUAAAAUGCGUAGAUAUAUGGAAGAACACCAGUGGCGAAGGCGGCCGCCUGGCCUGUUGCUGACGCUGAGGCACGAAAGCGUGGGGAGCAAAUAGG